UGAAAGAUGAUGAUGAUGAGAUUCUGAAGAUGGUUUUUGUUGUUACUGCAGCAGAGUGAGGACUGUGGAACAAGACCACCGAGAAACUCAUUGUUGUGUCCCCAAAAUAUUGUCUAUUUUUUCUUGAAUCCUAUAAAAUACAUUUAGGGGGUGUUAUUCGUUAAUGGAUUUUAAUAGAAUUGAAAUUCAACACUAAUUUACUGUUAUUCAACUAAUGAUUCUAAAUCUAGCUUUAAAAUCUAGUAUUAUUGGAACUCAUAUUUGUAAAUCAUGUUUAAUAGAUUUUAAAGUUUGGUGUUAUUCAAUUAAGAUUUUAAAUAUUUCAUUAAAAUCCAAUGUUAUUCAAAACUAAAAGACUUGUAAAAUCUUUGUAUAUUAAUUGAUUUGAAAUGAAAUCUCUUUGGAGUUUCAUGAGUAAAUCAUUAGAAUCAAAAUUCAAGACAUAUUGCAGAGAUUUUGAAAUUCAUACAAACAUAUUCUUAAAAGCAAUAUCAGAAAACAAAUCUAAAGCUUAAAAAAUUGACUUUAACUCCAUAAUAUAUUAUGUUAGUCUAUUUUGGUAUCCAAAAAAUCUUAUUUGUUGUAGGCAACGGGAAGUUGAUUAAACUGGAAAGGAGAAUAAGUUUCUUUUGCUUCUCUAUGGACAUACAUAGAAAUUUUUCU
This 663-nucleotide small RNA is filed under the name Arabidopsis thaliana (thale cress). RNAcentral describes it as "ATSL051330". The record is from RNAcentral. Lineage: Eukaryota; Viridiplantae; Streptophyta; Magnoliopsida; Brassicales; Brassicaceae.